UAUUUAGAAUUAAAACAAAAAAAGGAAAAAAAAACAUAUGUCAUGAUUUACCCAAAGCAUAGCAUAUGAUGGAUAAACUAGAAAGCAUAGCAUAUAGCACAUAUAAUACCCUUGGUGUUAGGAUUUGACGUCUCAAGAUUCGGUCCAUACUGAGCCCACAGCAAGGUUCGCAACGAAAAACGGAGUCUAAUGAGGCCAAGAUCACCCAAAACAGAGCU
RNAcentral lists this long non-coding RNA (218 nucleotides) under Elaeis guineensis (African oil palm). RNAcentral describes it as "long non-coding RNA (EGUI_LNC002198)". The record is from RNAcentral. Lineage: Eukaryota; Viridiplantae; Streptophyta; Magnoliopsida; Arecales; Arecaceae.